This 245-nucleotide long non-coding RNA is filed under the name Ananas comosus (pineapple). RNAcentral's name for it is "long non-coding RNA (ACOM_LNC020392)". Lineage: Eukaryota; Viridiplantae; Streptophyta; Magnoliopsida; Poales; Bromeliaceae. The record is from RNAcentral.
UUUGAAGAAGAUUCAGCCUACCUGCUUAAUGAAUGAAGCAGGUAGCUUACUACCUAUUUCUCAAAAAAAAAAAAAACACUUUUGAAGAAGAUUCAGCCAAAACAAGCAGGUAGAAUUUACUAGAUUUGUAACACUUUUUUUUUUUCAGUGGAAUCUGCUAAAUAUGGCAUAUACAAUCUACUAAUUGUCACUCGUUCAGUGAGCUAACUUGUAUUAACUACUCUCUAGUUGUGAAUCCAUACAUA